Molecule: long non-coding RNA, 1865 nt
Organism: Sparus aurata (gilthead seabream)
Lineage: Eukaryota; Metazoa; Chordata; Actinopteri; Spariformes; Sparidae
Source: Ensembl
UUGCCGUAGUUCGAGUAACUGUGAUUGACUGACUGAGAUAACCAAUCCAUCAGUCCUUUGUGCCUAAAUCUAACCAACCACGGAAGGCACCACGCAAUAUAAACCAAUCAGAAGCAACGUAAGGCGGGUCUUGGCUUCUCUAACUAUCUUUCACACACAACCAAUAAUACCCAACUGCAGCCACUGCGACCCCCGAAGCCACUACAAACCACGCCCCAUACAAACUACGCCUACGUGUUGCUACGGUGGCCGGGAAGGACGAUUAAACUCACAGCAGCAAAUGCAAGCAGUCAAAGAAGAAGAAGAAGAAGAAGAAGAAGAAUGCAGCCAGGACAAGACGGCAAUGCCAGUUCAGAGUCCACAGGACACCGACCACAUGUACAGCAAGAGGCCUUACAGCUUUCCACCCAGAGAGCAUGUUCAUGUGAGUGAAGACUAUCGCAUGAGAGCAACAUAUCCAGUGCACUUAGCUGUGCACUAAGUCAUGACUUUGUGUGUCUUGAUUAAGGACUAUAAUGACAGCAUGGACUAACAUGAUGUGGUCACCACAACCAGAGACGUUGGGAUCCUGAGUGAAGACGCAUCUUUCCACAGGCUUGUGGUGAGGACAUGCAAAGGAUCAACAAACAACAAAUCUUAUUUAAUAUACUUAACCAGAAUAAUUAGGUUUAACAUCUGAAUGCUGUUUGAUCAAAUUUUAGGAAAGGGCUCAGCAAGCUGAACACCAUAGAAGAGUCACUAGUGACCUUCAUGUAACGUUCAUCACUCAGGAUAACGGUCUGCUGCAACAUCUUGAAGCGGUCAUCGCAUGAAAAGUUGCAUCCUCCUGGGCAACAUCAAAGUGCAGGGUGAUCAUCUUUGUGGAGGAUGAGCAGCUGGACAGAGUGCUGGGCUUCUUCACAAGCCUGGUUGAAGCACAGACAACCAGGUGUCACAAUCACGUGGCAUUUGUUAUGGAUGUGCUUCUGCCAGAGGCAACAGUCCACGCCCUUUCAGCUGUCCAUGCAUGUUCCAUUGACAGAGCCACAGAAGUGUAUAAAUGUGGACUGCAGUAUGACUCGAGGUAUGCUACAUACAUAAGGAGAGUGCUAAUACCUAUAAGUAUUGUUUUUACAUUGUUUAUGACAGCCUCUCCGUGUGAAUUUCCUUUUACUAAUCGCUAUUUUCUUCUGUUUUGUCUCAUCAGUGAAAAACGGCUGUUGGCUCAUUACAUGACAAAUGAGCAAGGAGGCAAAACAGCAACUAGAAACAUAUGCUGAAUAACUCAGAAGAGCUCUGGACUCUGAGGAGUUUUUGAAGAGGCUUUAGUAUUUAUGUAGGAUGAAUUAAAAAAUAGUCUGUGAAAUGAUAAUGUUUUAUUUUAUUGCCAAUAAAAGUUGUUGCUGGCUAAUUCAUUUGUCUCAACUUUUGUGUUUUGAGGUACAUAUUUUAAAGACCUGUGUAUGGUCAUAUUUAUAAAUACAUAAAUACAUUUUAUUUGUGUCAAAGGGCCAGCAGUCUUUUCUGUUAACCCAUAAGAAAUCAUCACCUUAGAGUGAUAAUUAUGGCAUCUGAUGUAGUAGGCCAAGCUCUGUGACAGUGUGGCUCUUAGAAAAACGGCUGGUGGAAACAACCUAUUUUAAUCGAAAUGACUACUACUAAUUAUUAUUAUUAUUAUUGUAAAUAUUUUAUUUUAUCGAGUUUAAAAUAACCUUGUACAGAUACAUUAGUCACUUAUAUAAAAAAUGAAAAGAUGCAUGCACCAGAUUUAGCAGUCCUAUAUAAUCUUUUAUCAGAUUAAUCUUUUAUCCCAAUCUUUUAUUUUUUUUAUUACUUAACUUUCUAUUUUUGUAUAUAUUUAUUGUUUCAAGCACAUUGUUUGCAUU